This 270-nucleotide ribosomal RNA is filed under the name uncultured bacterium. Its description in RNAcentral is "partial 16S ribosomal RNA". It matches the Rfam family "Bacterial small subunit ribosomal RNA", at positions 524 to 794 of the family's 1533-position model. The record is from RNAcentral.
UACGUAGGGUGCAAGCGUUGUCCGGAAUUAUUGGGCGUAAAGAGCUCGUAGGCGGUCUGUCGCGUCGGCUGUGAAAACUCGGGGCUCAACUCCGAGCUUGCAGUCGAUACGGGCAGGCUAGAGUUCGGCAGGGGAGACUGGAAUUCCUGGUGUAGCGGUGAAAUGCGCAGAUAUCAGGAGGGACACCGGUGGCGAAGGCGGAUCAUCUGGGCCGUACUGACUCUGAGGAGCGAAAGCGUGGGAGCGAACAGGAUUAGAACCUACGGUAGU